UACGGGGGGGGCAAGCGUUGUUCGGAAUUACUGGGCGUAAAGGGUUUGUAGGUGGCUUGCUAAGUCGGACGUGAAAUCCCUCAGCUUAACUGGGGAACUGCGUCUGAGACUGGCAAGCUUGAGUGCAGGAGAGGAACGCGGAAUUCCAGGUGUAGCGGUGAAAUGCGUAGAUAUCUGGAGGAACACCGGUGGCGAAGGCGGCGUUCUGGACUGUAACUGACACUGAGGAACGAAAGCCAGGGGAGCAAACGGG
This 253-nucleotide ribosomal RNA is filed under the name uncultured bacterium. Its description in RNAcentral is "partial 16S ribosomal RNA". It matches the Rfam family "Bacterial small subunit ribosomal RNA", at positions 524 to 776 of the family's 1533-position model. The record is from RNAcentral.